AUUGAACGCUGGCGGCAUGCUUUACACAUGCAAGUCGAACGGCAGCGCGGGGCAACCUGGCGGCGAGUGGCGAACGGGUGAGUAAUAUAUCGGAACGUACCCAAGAGUGGGGGAUAACGUAGCGAAAGUUACGCUAAUACCGCAUACGAUCCAAGGAUGAAAGCAGGGGAUCUUCGGACCUUGUGCUCCUGGAGCGGCCGAUAUCUGAUUAGCUAGUUGGUGAGGUAAAGGCUCACCAAGGCCACGAUCAGUAGCUGGUCUGAGAGGACGACCAGCCACACUGGAACUGAGACACGGUCCAGACUCCUACGGGAGGCAGCAGUGGGGAAUUUUGGACAAUGGGCGAAAGCCUGAUCCAGCAAUGCCGCGUGAGUGAAGAAGGCCUUCGGGUUGUAAAGCUCUUUUGUCAGGGAAGAAACGGUGAGGGCUAAUAUCCUUCGCUAAUGACGGUACCUGAAGAAUAAGCACCGGCUAACUACG
Molecule: ribosomal RNA, 480 nt
Filed under: uncultured Massilia sp.
Lineage: Bacteria; Pseudomonadati; Pseudomonadota; Betaproteobacteria; Burkholderiales; Oxalobacteraceae
Description: bacterial SSU rRNA
Rfam family: Bacterial small subunit ribosomal RNA
Source: RNAcentral